RNAcentral lists this ribosomal RNA (561 nucleotides) under Phomopsis sp. OTU4 TS-2013. Its description in RNAcentral is "eukaryotic LSU rRNA". It matches the Rfam family "Eukaryotic large subunit ribosomal RNA", at positions 62 to 648 of the family's 3401-position model. The record is from RNAcentral. Lineage: Eukaryota; Fungi; Ascomycota; Sordariomycetes; Diaporthales; Diaporthaceae.
AAACCAACAGGGAUUGCCCUAGUAACGGCGAGUGAAGCGGCAACAGCUCAAAUUUGAAAUCUGGCCUCGGCCCGAGUUGUAAUUUGCAGAGGAUGNUUCUGGCGCGGUGCCUUCCGAGUUCCCUGGAACGGGACGCCAAAGAGGGUGAGAGCCCCGUAUGGUCGGACACCAAGCCUGUGUGAAGCUCCUUCGACGAGUCGAGUAGUUUGGGAAUGCUGCUCUAAAUGGGAGGUAAAUCUCUUCUAAAGCUAAAUACCGGCCAGAGACCGAUAGCGCACAAGUAGAGUGAUCGAAAGAUGAAAAGCACCUUGAAAAGGGGGUUAAAUAGUACGUGAAAUUGUUGAAAGGGAAGCACUUAUGACCAGACUUGGGCCGGGCGGCUCAUCAGGGGUUCUCCCCUGUGCACUCCGCCCGGCACAGGCCAGCAUCGGUUCUCGUGGGGGGAUAAGACCAUCCGGAACGUAGCACCCUCCGGGGUGUGUUAUAGCCCGGCGGACGAUACCCCCGUGGGGACCGAGGUCCGCGCUCCGCAAGGAUGCUGGCGUAAUGGUUAUCAGUGAC